UCAGUUCAGCACUAAGUCACUUUGUCUUUAUGGCAAAUGUGAGAUGCAGUGUAUGGAAUGUCAAAUUUCUAGUAUGAUAAAUUAACGAUUUAAGUCCUUCUUAAAUGAGGCCAUUUACCCAUAGAGGGUGCCAGGCCCGUAUAACGUUAAUGAUUACUAGAUGGCAUUUCCAAAGAGUCGUGUUGCUUGAUAGUGCAGCACUAAGUGGGUGGUAAACUCCAUCUAAAACUAAAUAUAACCAUGAGACCGAUAGUAAACAAGUACCGUGAGGGAAAGUUGAAAAGAACUCUGAAUAGAGAGUUAAAUAGUACGUGAAACUGCUUAGAGGUUAAGCCCGAUGAACCUGAAUAUCCAUUAUGGAAAAUUCAUCAUUAUGAUUUUAAUAUUUAUAAUAUUAUAAUAAUAGUGUGCAUUUUUUCUAUAACGGACAUUGUAAUCUAUUAACAUAAAUAUAUUUAUCAUAAGAUCAAUGAUGCGUAAGUUUAUUCAAAUUAUUUUGCUUGCAAUUUAACAUAGAAUAAAUGCUCUUGAUUUGAUAAAGUGUUGAUAGAUUUAUUGUAUAUAGUGCUUAAAUAUUUAUAUUUUAUAAUAGCAUAUUAAUCAUUGAUUUUUAUGUUUAUUAUAUGCACUUAUAUGAUUAACAAUGCGAAAGAUUCAGGAUACCUUCGGGACCCGUCUUGAAACACGGACCAAGGAGUCUAACAUAUUUGCAAGUUAUUGGGUAUCAAAACCUAAUAGCGAAAUUAACAUAACUUUAAUGGGAUUAGUUUUUAGAUUAUUUAUAGUCUAUUAAUUCAAUCCCGGGGCGUUCUAUAUGGUUAUGUAUAAUAAUAUUUAUAUUAUUUAUAUCUCUAACCAGAGCGUACCUUGAGCAUAUAUGCUGUGACCCGAAAGAUGGUGAACUAUACUUGAUCAGGUUGAAGUCAGGGGAAACCCUGAUGGAAGACCGAAACAGUUCUGACGUGCAAAUCGAUUGUCAGAAUUG
This 985-nucleotide ribosomal RNA is filed under the name Sarcophaga crassipalpis. RNAcentral describes it as "eukaryotic LSU rRNA". It matches the Rfam family "Eukaryotic large subunit ribosomal RNA", at positions 104 to 913 of the family's 3401-position model. The record is from RNAcentral. Lineage: Eukaryota; Metazoa; Arthropoda; Insecta; Diptera; Sarcophagidae.